RNAcentral lists this ribosomal RNA (574 nucleotides) under uncultured bacterium. Its description in RNAcentral is "bacterial SSU rRNA". It matches the Rfam family "Bacterial small subunit ribosomal RNA", at positions 504 to 1075 of the family's 1533-position model. The record is from RNAcentral.
CGUGCCAGCAGCCGCGGUAAGACGUAGGGGGCGAGCGUUGUCCGGAAUCAUUGGGCGUAAAGAGCGUGUAGGCGGCUGAGCAAGUCAGAUGUGAAAUCCCUGGGCUUAACCCAGGAAGUGCAUUUGAAACUGUUCAGCUUGAGUAAGGAAGAGGGAAGUGGAAUUCCUGGUGUAGAGGUGAAAUUCGUAGAUAUCAGGAGGAACACCGGUGGCGAAGGCGACUUCCUGGUCCUAUACUGACGCUGAGACGCGAGAGCGUGGGGAGCAAACAGGAUUAGAUACCCUGGUAGUCCACGCCGUAAACGAUGUUCACUAGGUGUUGAGGGUAUUGACCCCUUCAGUGCCGAAGCUAACGCAUUAAGUGAACCGCCUGGGGAGUACGGUCGCAAGAUUAAAACUCGAAGGAAUUGACGGGGGCCCGCACAAGCGGUGGAGCAUGUGGUUUAAUUCGAUGCAACGCGAAGAACCUUACCUGGGCUUGACAUCCCGGGAAUCUUCUGGAAACAGGAGAGUGCCCUUCGGGGAACCCGGAGACAGGUGCUGCAUGGCUGUCGUCACUCGUGUCGUGAGAUGU